CCUACGGGGGGCAGCAGUGAGGAAUAUUGGUCAAUGGGCGGAAUCCUGAACCAGCCAAGCAGCGUGCAGGAUGACGGCCCUACGGGUUGUAAACUGCUUUUAUACGGGAAUAACGCGCCUUACGUGUAGGGCUUUGCAUGUACCGUAUGAAUAAGGACCGGCUAACUCCGUGCCAGCAGCCGCGGUAAUACGGAGGGUCCGGGCGUUAUCCGGAUUUAUUGGGUUUAAAGGGUGCGUAGGCGGUUUUUCAAGUGUGCUGUGAAAUGCCGGGGCUCAACACGGGGCUUGCAGCGAGUACUGGAGUACUAGAGACCGCGUGCAGCAGGCGGAAUUCGUAGUGUAGCGGUGAAAUGCUUAGAUAUGACACAGAACACCGAUUGCGAAGGCAGCUUGCUAGGGCGGAACUGACGCUGAUGCUCGAAAGCGUGGGGAUCGAACAGGAUUAGAUACCCUUGUAGUC
RNAcentral lists this ribosomal RNA (460 nucleotides) under uncultured bacterium. Its description in RNAcentral is "partial 16S ribosomal RNA". It matches the Rfam family "Bacterial small subunit ribosomal RNA", at positions 338 to 795 of the family's 1533-position model. The record is from RNAcentral.